RNAcentral lists this ribosomal RNA (465 nucleotides) under uncultured Lactobacillus sp. Its description in RNAcentral is "bacterial SSU rRNA". It matches the Rfam family "Bacterial small subunit ribosomal RNA", at positions 338 to 795 of the family's 1533-position model. The record is from RNAcentral. Lineage: Bacteria; Bacillati; Bacillota; Bacilli; Lactobacillales; Lactobacillaceae.
CCUACGGGCGGCAGCAGUAGGGAAUCUUCCACAAUGGGCGCAAGCCUGAUGGAGCAACACCGCGUGAGUGAAGAAGGGUUUCGGCUCGUAAAACUCUGUUGUUGGAGAAGAACGUGCGUAAGAGUAACUGUUUACGCAGUGACGGUAUCCAACCAGAAAGUCACGGCUAACUACGUGCCAGCAGCCGCGGUAAUACGUAGGUGGCAAGCGUUAUCCGGAUUUAUUGGGCGUAAAGCGAGCGCAGGCGGUUGCUUAGGUCUGAUGUGAAAGCCUUCGGCUUAACCGAAGAAGUGCAUCGGAAACAGGGCGACUUGAGUGCAGAAGAGGACAGGGGAACUCCAUGUGUAGCGGUGGAAUGUGUAGAUAUAUGGAAGAACACCAGUGGCGAAGGCGGCUGUCUGGUCUGCAACUGACGCUGAGGCUCGAAAGCAUGGGUAGCGAACAGGAUUAGAUACCCUUGUAGUC